GUUCAGCAGGGCGGCGUGCUUACACAUGCAAGUCGAACGGUGAAGCAGAGCUUGCUCUGUGGAUCAGUGGCGAACGGGUGAGUAACACGUGAGCAAUCUGCCCCUGACUCUGGGAUAAGCGCUGGAAACGGCGUCUAAUACCGGAUACGAGCUGCGACCGCAUGGUCAGUAGCUGGAAAGAAUUUCGGUCAGGGAUGAGCUCGCGGCCUAUCAGCUUGUUGGUGAGGUAAUGGCUCACCAAGGCGUCGACGGGUAGCCGGCCUGAGAGGGUGACCGGCCACACUGGGACUGAGACACGGCCCAGACUCCUACGGGAGGCAGCAGUGGGGAAUAUUGCACAAUGGGCGAAAGCCUGAUGCAGCAACGCCGCGUGAGGGAUGACGGCCUUCGGGUUGUAAACCUCUUUUAGCAGGGAAGAAGCGAAAGUGACGGUACCUGCAGAAAAAGCGCCGGCUAACUACGUGCCAGCAGCCGCGGUAAUACGUAGGGCGCAAGCGUUAUCCGGAAUUAUUGGGCGUAAAGAGCUCGUAGGCGGUCUGUCGCGUCUGCUGUGAAAACCCGAGGCUCAACCUCGGGCCUGCAGUGGGUACGGGCAGACUAGAGUGCGGUAGGGGAGAUUGGAAUUCCUGGUGUAGCGGUGGAAUGCGCAGAUAUCAGGAGGAACACCGAUGGCGAAGGCAGAUCUCUGGGCCGUAACUGACGCUGAGGAGCGAAAGGGUGGGGAGCAAACAGGCUUAGAUACCCUGGUAGUCCACCCCGUAAACGUUGGGAACUAGUUGUGGGGUCCAUUCCACGGAUUCCGUGACGCAGCUAACGCAUUAAGUUCCCCGCCUGGGGAGUACGGCCGCAAGGCUAAAACUCAAAGGAAUUGACGGGGACCCGCACAAGCGGCGGAGCAUGCGGAUUAAUUCGAUGCAACGCGAAGAACCUUACCAAGGCUUGACAUAUAGAGGAAACGUCUGGAAACAGUCGCCCCGCAAGGUCUCUAUACAGGUGGUGCAUGGUUGUCGUCAGCUCGUGUCGUGAGAUGUUGGGUUAAGUCCCGCAACGAGCGCAACCCUCGUUCUAUGUUGCCAGCACGUAAUGGUGGGAACUCAUGGGAUACUGCCGGGGUCAACUCGGAGGAAGGUGGGGAUGACGUCAAAUCAUCAUGCCCCUUAUGUCUUGGGCUUCACGCAUGCUACAAUGGCCGGUACAAAGGGCUGCAAUACCGUGAGGUGGAGCGAAUCCCAAAAAGCCGGUCCCAGUUCGGAUUGAGGUCUGCAACUCGACCUCAUGAAGUCGGAGUCGCUAGUAAUCGCAGAUCAGCAACGCUGCGGUGAAUACGUUCCCGGGUCUUGUACACACCGCCCGUCAAGUCAUGAAAGUCGGUAACACCUGAAGCGCGGUGGCCCAACCCUUGUGGAGGGAGCCGUCGAAUGGUGGAUCGUAUUAGGUUGCCG
This 1442-nucleotide ribosomal RNA is filed under the name Microbacterium arborescens. RNAcentral describes it as "bacterial SSU rRNA". It matches the Rfam family "Bacterial small subunit ribosomal RNA". Lineage: Bacteria; Bacillati; Actinomycetota; Actinomycetes; Micrococcales; Microbacteriaceae. The record is from RNAcentral.